GCGCACGGGUGAGUAACACGUGACUAACCUACCCUGGAGUGGGGGAUAACUGAGGGAAACCUUAGCUAAUACCGCAUAACACCUACGGGUCAAAGGAGCAAUUCGCUUCAGGAGGGGGUCGCGGCCGAUUAGUUAGUUGGCGGGGUAAUGGCCCACCAAGACAGUGAUCGGUAUCCGGCCUGAGAGGGCGCACGGACACACUGGAACUGAAACACGGUCCAGACUCCUACGGGAGGCAGCAGUGGGGAAUUUUGCGCAAUGGGGGAAACCCUGACGCAGCAACGCCGCGUGGAGGAUGAAGUACUUCGGUACGUAAACUCCUUUCGAUCGGGACGAUAAUGACGGUACCGGAAGAAGAAGCCCCGGCUAACUUCGUGCCAGCAGCCGCGGUAAUACGAGGGGGGCAAGCGUUGUUCGGAAUUAUUGGGCGUAAAGGGUGCGUAGGCGGUUUGGUAAGUCAGGGGUGAAAUCCUGGAGCUCAACUCCAGAACUGCCUUUGAUACUGGAAGUCUUGAGUCCGGGAGAGGUGAGUGGAACUGCGAGUGUAGAGGUGAAAU
Molecule: ribosomal RNA, 557 nt
Filed under: uncultured bacterium
Lineage: Bacteria
Description: bacterial SSU rRNA
Rfam family: Bacterial small subunit ribosomal RNA
Source: RNAcentral